AUUGAACGCUGGCGGCAUGCCUUACACAUGCAAGUCGAACGGCAGCGGACCUUCGGGUGCCGGCGAGUGGCGAACGGGUGAGUAAUAUAUCGGAACGUACCUUUCAGUGGGGAUAACGUAGCGAAAGUUACGCUAAUACCGCAUAUUCUGUGAGCAGGAAAGCAGGGGAUCGCAAGACCUUGCGCUGAUUGAGCGGCCGAUAUCAGAUUAGCUAGUUGGUGAGGUAAAGGCUCACCAAGGCGACGAUCUGUAGCGGGUCUGAGAGGAUGAUCCGCCACACUGGAACUGAGACACGGUCCAGACUCCUGCGGGAGGCAGCAGUGGGGAAUUUUGGACAAUGGGCGCAAGCCUGAUCCAGCCAUGCCGCGUGAGUGAAGAAGGCCUUCGGGUUGUAAAGCUCUUUCGGCCGGGAAGAAAUCGCACAGGUUAAUACCCUGUGUGGAUGACGGUACCGGAAUAAGAAGCACCGGCUAACUACGUG
This 481-nucleotide ribosomal RNA is filed under the name uncultured bacterium. Its description in RNAcentral is "bacterial SSU rRNA". It matches the Rfam family "Bacterial small subunit ribosomal RNA", at positions 30 to 507 of the family's 1533-position model. The record is from RNAcentral.